Long non-coding RNA from Ictalurus punctatus (channel catfish), 1207 nucleotides. The record is from Ensembl. Lineage: Eukaryota; Metazoa; Chordata; Actinopteri; Siluriformes; Ictaluridae.
AGACAUUGCAUGUUUCUUUUAAUGCUUGCCAUAUUCUCAUUCAUAUAUCAUUGUUUUUAUCCAACCAACCAUCCAUCCAUCCAUCCAUUAUCCUUACCAGUAAUCCUACACAUGGCACGGGGUGUCAACCCAUCACUAGGCACAAUCGCACACACUCGCACACUAUGGACAAUUUGAAAAUGGCUAUAAGCUUACAACGCAUGUCUUUGGACUGGGGAGGAAGCCGGAGUACCCAGAGGAAACCCCCUAGGCUCUGAUAGAACAUGCAACAUCACGCACACAAGACAGAGAUGGGACUUUAGCCCCCAACCCUGGAGGUCUGGGGCAAAUGUGCUAACCACUAAGCUUAUAACAUAAUUCACAGCAAAGGGGAAAAAUCUGUUUAAUCAGUACUCAUUUCUAUUGCCCGUUUAUUUCUAUCAUCCAUUUAUCUUUAAAGUGGAGGUCUAGAUGCUACUGAAGAACCUUGUCCUGAACAAUUCUACUCAACAACAAAAUUUGACAACCUUGAAGGCAAGAACUAUAUGCAGGCUCGUUUGGUGUCGCUAGCCAAGGGGAGGCACAACUAAGCUAUCAUUGUAUAGAACCACGUAGGACUGCCAGAUAGGCAGACGUUGAAGAAUUGGGCUAUAACUUCUGUCAAGAGGGAGCUGCUGGGGUAGUUGGCUGGGUGAAAUUGGACUCUGCCCAGGGAGGACUUACAGCUCUGUGGUUCUCCAUGUUGGAUAAGGUCUAAUUCAAAUGUACUGUCUCUCCAGAUUUGGCUGAGUUUGCUAUUAGUGCAGUAGUGGGCCAAACAGAGAUGUUGUGAUCUUAUUGGAUAUUUCAUUAGAAAGCACUAUUAGAUUCCAUACAGUGCCCUAUUGUCUGGUCUUCGACACACACACACACACACACACGCAUAUAUAUAUGUAUAUAUAUAUAAUAUACACACACACACAUACUCUGUGAUCCAGUUUUUGUGCUGAGUAUAAUAAAUUGGAAAUUUAAUGAUGUUGAAUGUUGUGGCUUCACAUGUAUUACCUAUUCACUGUGUAUCUGUAAGCUAUUGAGUGACAAGAUGCUGGAAAUAAAAGCAAACCAGAAACAAAUAAUAAAUAUAUAUCAGAUAAAAGACAUUCGCCAAACGAUGCAUGUAGAGUGCCAUCUACUGCAUAGCCUCAGAAUAAUGAAUAGAUAUACAAAAUAAAAACUAGAGGAAUGAAAU